UGUGCAGGAUACAAACUGGGGAAAUGAAAGCCUCUUUUGUCUUUGCAAGAUAUUGGCUCUUAAUUUUAGCUGAUAAGCACCAUUCCUGAAGGCAGGUAAUUGCUUUGAAUGACUCUUGUGAUGUUUCUUUGGACAUUGAAAAGUUAUGGGGUUUUUUUGUUUUGUUUUGUUUUUUAAUUUGGGGCAUUUUACCACCUUCUUGCCCAGCAGCUUGGCUGUUGCUUGUUAUGACUCCUACACUGGAAACAUUUGCUUCCCUCAUUAUUUGCGAAGUAUAAGUUACCAAAGCAAUAUAAAUAAUUCAUGAGCGUGCCUGCCAUGUGUGGGAAUAAAUUGUAUUUGUGUGAGAGGAAGAGUUCAGGGGGGUACAACAUUUGGAACAAAUGAGUGCAAAAGACACUAGAACUAGGCUGGAUUUGUGGCUAAUUUCUAACAAACCAAUAAAAUGCAAAGCAGAGAAAGCAGAGGAAAUGAGCAGGCAGUGAUGACCUAACCUGGAAGUAAUUUGAGACCAGGUAAGCAUGUGUGUCCACAGCCUGAGUGCAUACUCUGAUUAGCAGGAGUGUGCAAGCUGUUGUGUGGGUGCAAAGAUAGCAGACCUAACCAUUCAGAUCUUCAUUACUAAAGAAAAACAUGAGAAAUUACCUCAGGACGAAUGUGGUCCAGAAGCCAGCAGUCUUCUUCCAUCAUCACUCAGAGAGCAAAGUCAUCAGCUCGAGCAUCGAGUCAAACAGAGCAGGUUGCGUUAUUUUUGACUGAAACCAUCAAUGUCCCAAGUAUGGCAGACUGGACACCAUUGUGCUGACUCACAUAACUCCAAUCUGAGCAAGAGCUGAGCCCCAGCAGCAUGGUUUGACAAAGAAGGACUGGGACAAUGUCCCUGCUCGGGAUCCACAUCAGGACUACUUUGGCUUCAGCCUGUCCCAGGGUUGGGGAUCUCCAGAAAUGUGCCCAAGGCUAUGCUGGCUCCAAGGCUGGCUAGCGUGGGAUGACUGUGUCCAUGCUAUUAAACUAUCAAUCCCUUUAAACAAUUUAAAAGAGUGAAGGAUUGAUUUCUAGUGCUUGGAAACAUUCUUAAGUCCUACUUAAUUUAUUGGCAUAGGCGGAGUCAGUCUGAACUGACUAACAACCAAGUCCAGGCAAGGACCUGCAGUGAGGCCAUGAAGGGGGAGCAUGGUCAGCCACCCACAGCUAGGAGGCAAGGACAGUGAGAUCAGAAGUAUUGCUCCAACUUUGCUGUCCCCUACCCCAGGGUAAUUUUGCGUAUUCUCCUUUUGGACUCACUGGCUGUGAGUAGAAAACUUGCUAUUUGCAAGCACCCAGCCAUGUAAUCAGUGUUCUUGGUUCAUUUCAUGGGCUGGAGACAGAGUCUAUAAUAUUUAACUUGAUGCUUACACUCACCCACACCCCCAAGUGCUAGGUUAUCAUUGCAUAGGUUUUGGAAUAAAUCCAUGUGAUAUCAAGGAGGUAGAUUUUCCAUUUCAUUAAUUGUCUGUUGAAAAAUCUGGAAAAAAAUUAUCCCCAGCCGGUUACUUAUUUUACAGCAUACAAUUCUCACUGAUACAUGUUUUAACCAAUAGAAGGAAGAAUUCUUCAUGUGUGAGUGGAGUUUACCAUGAAACUUUUGACGACAAUGCCACCAAAUCCUAGCAUACACCUUUCUCCAUUAGGAAACCAUUUUUCAGCAGCUCAAGUGGAGUACUCCAGGGUUUUCAGCAAAGCUAACGCCCUAAUUUUUCUUUCCAUGGGGCUAGUCUCUUUCUUGGACUCUUGUCGUGCACAUGUGGCAUUUUUGAGCCUGAUUCUGCCUUGCAGCACUCAGCUGGAAGCUCUUCCAUCCAAACAACCACCCAAGGGCAUGGUGAAAGUGGGCCACAAACACAGGAAGAGUUUGAAGAGAAACUGAAAAGAGAAGGGAAUAAUUCCAACUGAAACUGCAGUGAAAGCUUCCCCAUCUCUUUUCUUCCAGGGUCUUCCUGCCUGGUGUUUGCUUUAUUUUUUAUCUUACCCUACGCUUUCCUUUGUCCUUGCAUCACCAGGAUCCCUUCUUUUCUGUCAGUGCCUGAAUGUCCUGUCCCACUCUGCACAGUGUAUUCUUUGCUUUUGUGUUUCCCCUGUGCUUACCAGUCCUCAUGUAGCCUUACAGCUUAGAGAAAUGGAUGUAAAAUUUUUUUCCAUUACAUGUGCCUCAUUUUCUUUUUAUGCUGCAUUUUCUACUUCUUAUCUGUAUUUGUAUGUAAAUAUCAUUUCAAGUUCCCUUUAUACAAAAGAGGGGCAGCUAGCGCAAAUGGCCAGCAGAGCUAUUGAAAAGCCACCACAGGACAUACGUCUGUAUGAAAGAAUACACUGCCUUUUGAUACCAGUAGUUGCAAGGUCAUUAAUGGCAGGAACAGGAGACAAACAGUGUUAAUAAUAGGCUAGUGGGGAACUGAAGGGGCUUCACGCUUCCCAUGAAAGCUUUUAGGAUUUUAUUCAAAUCCUUCCCUGACAGGAAGGGGAUGAGAGGACUGGGAGAUUUCUUCCAUCCUAGUCAUUUCUUUGGUACACCGUAGCCAAAGCAGAACGCUGUAAGAGUCAGUGUAUCCUAACCCCACCAAUUAAUAUGUUAUUCAUUGACCGUGGAGGUGGUGGAGCCACCUUUAUCUGUCCUCUUCUGUCUGCAGCCCUCUGAAUCCAUAGAGGGUUUAAAUGAUAUCUUUCAGGAUAAUUGUAGAGAUCUUCACUAGGUGGGGAGAAGAGAGAUUAGGAAAGAGAAACUGAGAAAGUCACAGCCUGUUUCCUUUGGUGCUCUCAGUUGUAAGUCCUCAUACUCUCACGACUCAUCCACCUUGAUGGAGACAUCCAAGGUGGGGUGGCUCAUUCCCACAGGACUGUGGACCAGAAUUUGGCUCGCCAGUGUUCUUGCUUUUACAGAUUGGGAAUAGCAUUUUCUUCAACAAUAGUUCAAUUAAGAAUGUCAACUAGUUGGGAUCUGGCUUUCUUUUCUGUUGUUUACUAAUUAAAUUUAGGUAGUUAGACCUCUAUGAACUUCAACAUGAGCAAUUGUGAUCAGCUCGUCAAUGAACAGCUGAUCAAGAAAGGUUUGCUUAAUUAGAGAAGAAGAGUAAUUAGCUUGUCAACAUUUAAGCUCCAGAAAGACUACAUGGAAGAAUUCCUAUCACCGUAUUUAUUGACCUUUAAAUCCUUCAGCUCUUCUGUCAUUGAUGUUUAAUCGAGUCACUUAGGCUGUCAGGCUAAUAACUAAGAUAAUGAAGUAGUCUAGGACCUUGCUUUACUACUUUGUUAUUCUAACGCUAAUUUUAGAAUGCUAAAAAUAGCUUCACUAAAAAUAAGACAUUGUGGGUGGGUUUUUCUCCUAAAACAAUUGAGCUUCUGUUACUUCCCUUCCAGAGCUAUUAGGACAUUAUUAGGUUUCAAAGAGGUUCUUUUGUAGUAAAAGCUAAUUGUAAUCUUCAUAGUGAAGGACUUAAUAAAUCAACCUCAUGUGGCAAUUCUAUUUGAAGAAUAAAGAGUAGGAUAUGUUAUUUGUUUAUAAAUUUGUACAUCUGACCUGUAGGGAAUACAGUGUUUAUGACAGAGUGAAGGCAUUAGGAAGGUGAGAGGUUUUCUUGAAGGAUCCUAUCUUAAAAAUCAAAAUCAUUGAUGCAGGAGCAAUCACCACUAAAAUGUUUUGUGUGCAUGAGGCGUCUGUAAGGAGAAUCCAAGUUCUUUGGGUGCUUACCUGAGCAUUCUUUCAAUCUUGAGUUGCUUUAAUUUAUUUCUAAAUUUCUGUGUGCGUAAUGUUUGGAGUUUAAACAAAAUUCAUGUAUCUGCAAUUUUGCUGUUUACUCUUAAGUUGUUGGUAUACAUUCUUAAUCUUACAUCAAUAUUAAUAUAUUUGUAUUUUGGUACAGAAAGCAUUAUGCAUAGAUGAAAACAGCAUGUGACUGUUAAGCCUUCUCAGGAAAAAGCAUCCUACUAAGAUCAAAUUCUGAGGAGAAAUAGAAAGUGUUUAAGUAUGUUUUUAAAAAUACUUACCUGACACAUGUUUUAGCAAAUCACUUUCUUAGAAAACCUUCUGUUUUGGUUUUACAUGCGGAUUUUUUUCCCCAUACAAAAACACCAUCUCUGCUGGUAAUUUUCAUGCCCAGAAUGUUAUAACCAUUUAUGAAAUUCUGUCUUUUAAAAUAAAAUACAUUUUCUUUCCCAAACCUAGACAAUAACAUACCCUUAAUACCUGUGAAGAAAACUAUGAGAUUUUAGGCAUUAAAGAACAUUAAAGGAAGUGGGUUUUAGGAAAACAUGUUGGAAACUGGUUGAUGUAUCAAAAAUUCUUUCAAUGGGAUUUUGUUUAUUGGGAAUAAAGAAAAUAAAUUCCUUACAGUCUG
This is a long non-coding RNA of Numida meleagris (helmeted guineafowl), 4367 nucleotides long. RefSeq lists it as uncharacterized. The transcript is spliced from 2 exons. Lineage: Eukaryota; Metazoa; Chordata; Aves; Galliformes; Numididae. The record is from RefSeq and is a predicted model, not a curated record.